This 2539-nucleotide unclassified non-coding RNA is filed under the name Hevea brasiliensis (rubber tree). Lineage: Eukaryota; Viridiplantae; Streptophyta; Magnoliopsida; Malpighiales; Euphorbiaceae. The record is from RNAcentral.
GUUUAAAUAUUUUUCUACACAUAAAAACAUAUAUAUAUUUAGAUGAACUCCAACAUCAAUUUGACAUAUAGGUAACAUCAAUAUGGAGAUAAAUUCACUUAUUUUAAAGAGAGAAGCAUCUUAUAAUGUUUAGGAAUAAUAAAUGAAGUUAAAAAAAAAAAUUGUAGUAUUUAAUAUGACCAAAUUGCAAUAUAUUACUAUUAGCUAAGGUAAAACUAUGGCAAGUAAUGCAUUCACAACAGGCAAGCACAUGAGACAGCAGAUUUUAGACAUAUUAGGGUUCACACUUAUAUAGUGUAUGCCCAACUGUCUCUUGUGCAAAGCAGUCAAUCAGGGUAGAGGUAUCAGCUUAUGAUAACUAAAAUUACUAGAUAAAAGAAGGGGGAAAACUUCUCAACUCGUCCAGCCCAGUAAGUUAGAACAGAAAAGUAAAAUAAACGAUGAAUAGUAUGGGAGGAGUCAGUCCACCUCCAAUGGCAGACAUUAAAGAUCUAAUCCAUGAAAAUUGGAUUACUGGUUCUUAAUUGAUUUCAGAGAAAAGGGCACAAAAGCAAAUUAUUAUUUUUCUUUCAGAAAAAUACAAGAUGGCCUUAUAUACUCUUAGAACUCUCAGAUCAGAACUUAAUCUAAUAAGUCCAGAACUUAAAGCUAAACACAGACUAAUACCUAAAUAACACAUUUAAUAACUCAAAUUGAAAAACUAGCAGAUAUCUCUUGAACCACCAUAUUCUAGAGACUGCUUACAGAUUACAUUUAGUAACUCAACUGAUACACUUAUAUCACAAAACAAAACCACACACCGAUAUAUUACAGCCAUGAUUCUUCAUUGACAUCGUUGUCCUAGAAAUAAAAUAGUUAUCCAUAUUUCAAAGUCCUUGAAUCUGGCCUUCCCUAACAUUAAGAGCUUAUAUAAUUCUCCCCAAGGUUGUAGAAACUCUGUUGAAUUAUUAUGCACUGUAUUAGCAAAAUCUCCACAUUCACGAAUGCCAUCAGCAUUGAAAGAAAAAAGCAUCAUGUUAGCUUCUUUGUUUGAUGAAGGAUCAAUAAUCUUGAUAGUUCAAUACUUCAAAAAUGCCACUAAAUUUUAGUUGGAAUAACCAAAACACAGUAGUUACAUCUAUUUGCAUUGGAACUUCAAAAGAGUUCUUUGUCUCAUUCUUAACAUUCUUGAGCAAGUUGAUGGCAUAAACUUGAACAUUACCACCUCACCACCUUUUUAUCAUUCUCAAGCAUUCAACAAAGUGCUGGUAAUCCUUAGCAACAGAUCUCCAACUUCAUUCUCUCUUUUUGCAUUUUUUUUUUUUCACUUUCAUUCGAAAUAUUGAGUCUCGCAAUCUUUUGAUGCUCUUUGCAACCCUUCAAAAGCAUCAACAAUCAACGUAUGUUUCCCUUAAUGUUCUUCAGACAAUAAAUAAUCUCCUUCUAGUUUUGUUGUUUCAAAAAAUAGGCAGGGCAGUUUGAGAUGGUGACACAACCCUUUUUAUUUCCAAACCAGUGGCUCACUGAAAGAGGCUGUUACAGAAAUCAGGACACUAAAUAUUCUCCUUUGGUCAGUCAGCCUUCCUCAAGGGUCUCAAAAACUGCAAGUUACCAUUGGUUAUGACGACGACAGCUCUUUAAAACUAACAACCUUUCUCUUACACCAAAAUUGAUGUAAUCCAGUAAUUUAGGACAAAACUACGAUAAAGGUUGAAAAAGUUUGGAAGGAGUUCAAAUCCUUCAAGUUCAACAGCCCUCAUAAGAUCUAAUCCUUAAAACUUUGCUAAUUGGUUCUGGAAUGAUUUUGAGAGAAAUAGACAUAAAACUGAAUUAACCAUUCCAUCUCUCAAAACCAUAUAAGAAGCCUCCUACAGACUCCAAAAAUAGUAGCAGAACCUAGACUGAUAAUGCAAGAAUAGAUAACAUUGACUGAUUAAUGCAUGCCAUGUUUAGUGAUUCAGAUUGAAAAAAGAGGAAAAAAAAAUCUCUCGACUUGCAUAUAACAUCCACUCUUCAACAUAGACUACAAAAGUGAAUAAUAAGAUAUGUGAAUAAGCUUACACUAGCAUUGCAAAACAAAACCUCAAGCCUAUAAAUACGAAAAUAAUUAGGCAUGCAUCCAAGUCCUCCUAACCCAUAAAUGAAAAAAUAAAAAUUAUCCAAAUUCCAACCCCUUAAAUGUGGACUUUCUUGGUGUAUUAUCAGUCCAGCUAGAUCAUUGUUAUUUAUUGGUAGUGUUUCCAAAACACUCAAAAGAAUUAUGAUUGGUAGCUGUGCACUAAUAAUAAUACCUUAAUGUGUUAAAAUUAGUUUAUUACUAAUCCAUUUAGACUAUUAGCAGAAUGCAAGGUGUAUUUAAGAAAAGCAUUGUGUAUGUGAAUUGAAGGAUUAACAUUUUGACAAAUUGAAGUUUUAGCAAUCGCAGAACACCCAAAAUCUGAGUUACGUUUGCUAUUUGGAAGAUGAGAGAGCUAAAUCCAACUAUGCAAGCAACCAAACAGAAAGUCACAAAGGUAAUAAAGGAGAAGAAGGCAACCUUCAGUAGAGCGCUUGAUGCCCG